GAUGAACGCUGGCGGCGUGCUUAACACAUGCAAGUCGAACGGAAAGGCCCAAGCUUGCUUGGGUACUCGAGUGGCGAACGGGUGAGUAACACGUGGGUGAUCUGCCCUGCACUUCGGGAUAAGCCUGGGAAACUGGGUCUAAUACUGGAUAGGACCACUUCUUGGAUGUUGUGGUGGAAAGUUUUUUCGGUGUGGGAUGAGCUCGCGGCCUAUCAGCUUGUUGGUGGGGUAAUGGCCUACCAAGGCGUCGACGGGUAGCCGGCCUGAGAGGGUGUACGGCCACAUUGGGACUGAGAUACGGCCCAGACUCCUACGGGAGGCAGCAGUGGGGAAUAUUGCACAAUGGGCGCAAGCCUGAUGCAGCGACGCCGCGUGGGGGAUGACGGCCUUGGGGUUGUAAACUCCUUUCGCUAGGGACGAAGCGUUUUGUGACGGUACCUGGAGAAGAAGCACCGGCUAACUACGUG
This 467-nucleotide ribosomal RNA is filed under the name uncultured bacterium. Its description in RNAcentral is "partial 16S ribosomal RNA". It matches the Rfam family "Bacterial small subunit ribosomal RNA", at positions 28 to 507 of the family's 1533-position model. The record is from RNAcentral.